CGAGCUUCUCCUCCUCCGUUAAGAUUUUCUCCAGAUCUGCGAGCUUCUCCUCGUCCAUUAACGUGCAUUCUCCUCCUCAAUCUGUUUCUCAGUUUGCGUUCUAAGAACUUCUCACUCUUAGAUCUGUAACUAAAUUCACAUCCUGUGGUUGUAAUUACUUCGAUGAUUGUUAUAUGCUAAUUGUUCUAAUUACAUGCUCUCUCAAUAAUGCUUUCGUUUUCGAUUUUGUAUUCACUCUUAAUUAUUGUUUCUAGCAUUUCGUCUUUUAUGCGGCUUUGAUAAUUGACCUGAU
This 292-nucleotide long non-coding RNA is filed under the name Arachis ipaensis. RNAcentral describes it as "long non-coding RNA (AIPA_LNC000425)". Lineage: Eukaryota; Viridiplantae; Streptophyta; Magnoliopsida; Fabales; Fabaceae. The record is from RNAcentral.